This 318-nucleotide ribosomal RNA is filed under the name Klebsiella pneumoniae. RNAcentral's name for it is "bacterial SSU rRNA". It matches the Rfam family "Bacterial small subunit ribosomal RNA", at positions 344 to 654 of the family's 1533-position model. Lineage: Bacteria; Pseudomonadati; Pseudomonadota; Gammaproteobacteria; Enterobacterales; Enterobacteriaceae. The record is from RNAcentral.
GGAGGCAGCAGUGGGGAAUAUUGCACAAUGGGCGCAAGCCUGAUGCAGCCAUGCCGCGUGUGUGAAGAAGGCCUUCGGGUUGUAAAGCACUUUCAGCGGGGAGGAAGGCGUUAAGGUUAAUAACCUUGGCGAUUGACGUUACCCGCAGAAGAAGCACCGGCUAACUCCGUGCCAGCAGCCGCGGUAAUACGGAGGGUGCAAGCGUUAAUCGGAAUUACUGGGCGUAAAGCGCACGCAGGCGGUCUGUCAAGUCGGAUGUGAAAUCCCCGGGCUCAACCUGGGAACUGCAUUCGAAACUGGCAGGCUAGAGUCUUGUAG